This 257-nucleotide ribosomal RNA is filed under the name uncultured bacterium. RNAcentral's name for it is "partial 16S ribosomal RNA". It matches the Rfam family "Bacterial small subunit ribosomal RNA", at positions 103 to 353 of the family's 1533-position model. The record is from RNAcentral.
CGGGUGAGUAACACGUAGGUAACCUGCCCAUGUGCCCGGGAUAACUGCUGGAAACGGUAGCUAAAACCGGAUAGGUAUGAGGGAGGCAUCUUCCUCAUAUUAAAGCACCUUCGGGUGUGAACAUGGAUGGACCUGCGGCGCAUUAGCUGGUUGGUGAGGUAACGGCCCACCAAGGCGAUGAUGCGUAGCCGACCUGAGAGGGUGAACGGCCACAUUGGGACUGAGACACGGCCCAAACUCCUACGGGAGGCAGCAUG